CAGUAGCCGCGGUAAUACGGAGGGGGCUAGCGUUGUUCGGAAUUACUGGGCGUAAAGCGUGCGCAGGCGGUUUUGUAAGACAGGCGUGAAAUCCCCGGGCUCAACCUGGGAAUGACGCUUGUGACUGCAAAGCUAGAGUGCGGCAGAGGGGGAUGGAAUUCCGCGUGUAGCAGUGAAAUGCGUAGAUAUGCGGAGGAACACCGAUGGCGAAGGCAAUCCCCUGGGCCUGCACUGACGCUCAUGCACGAAAGCGUGGGGAGCAAACAGGAUUAGAUACCCGUGUAGUCCCUGUCUCUUAUAC
RNAcentral lists this ribosomal RNA (301 nucleotides) under uncultured bacterium. RNAcentral describes it as "partial 16S ribosomal RNA". It matches the Rfam family "Bacterial small subunit ribosomal RNA", at positions 509 to 807 of the family's 1533-position model. The record is from RNAcentral.